CAGCAGCCGCGGUAAUACGGAGGGUGCAAGCGUUAAUCGGAAUUACUGGGCGUAAAGCGCACGCAGGCGGUCUGACAAGUCAGAUGUGAAAUCCCCGGGCUUAACCUGGGAACUGCAUUUGAAACUGUCAGGCUGGAGUCUUGUAGAGGGGGGUGGAAUUCCAGGUGUAGCGGUGAAAUGCGUAGAGAUCUGGAGGAAUACCGGUGGCGAAGGCGGCCCCCUGGACAAAGACUGACGCUCAGGUGCGAAAGCGUGGGGAGCAAACAGGAUUAGAUACCCCGGUAGUCCCUGUCUCUUAUAC
Molecule: ribosomal RNA, 301 nt
Filed under: uncultured bacterium
Lineage: Bacteria
Description: partial 16S ribosomal RNA
Rfam family: Bacterial small subunit ribosomal RNA
Source: RNAcentral